GCUAAACCUCUUGCAUGACACUACAUGAGUUCUGCUGCCUGUGACUUGGAGAGCUUUCGGGUGGUAUAAAUAGAUCCAUUGUCCGUGCAGUUCAGGUGCAGGGGGGGAUUAAAAGUUCCCUGUUUCAUUAUCAGCACUGAAUGAUGAAGUUUUUGUAUCCUGUGAACAAGUUCCAGUUAAAAUUUUGAAUUAUACAGCUCUGGAAAAAAUUAAGAGAGCACUCUAUGCUGUUUUUCUUUAAAUCUGCAUUUUUAAAUCCUGGUUUAAUCGUGGCUCUACUUCCAGGUUCAAACUUUCUAAGACUGCAGCACACAAGAACAGGGUGAAGCAAAAGACACUGGGAAUGAACAGAAACCAGCCAAGCAACUUUCUAAUUCCUCCUGCCCCGUUAGCUUCUCCGGCAGAAGCCUUAUGAAUUGGAGGAUGAACUCAAGUGACCUUCAAAAGGAAGAAAUGAGAUUAAAUGCAGGGUUGGUGAACCUUUCCAAACAGGAUGAACCUUAUCUGUAGAAACUGAGCUGACGGCUGGUGAUCGCUGUGCCCUUUUUUUCUCAGCUGUGCCUUCUGGCAGGACAUCUCUUAAUCCAAAUAGGGGAGGCAAGUAGCCAGCAGGCCCUGAGAAGCAAGGCUUAAGGGUCCCACAUCAUUUCUUUCACUGUCAAAAGAGUUCUGUGCAAAGAAAUGCUCUGUAUGCACGCUAAUGAUAUUCCUCAUUGUUUAUGAUUUAUUUAUGAUGUAAGAUAUAUAUUAAUCAGGAAGCAUAUGGCACAAGGUGCCUCGGAUGGGCUCUCACGCAUGCACCCACACACUUUUUAGAGACACAAAUUUACCUAAAAGCAUGUCUUCGGACUCCAUGUGGAAAGCUGUGCAACACAGGAAGAACAUGCAAAUUCUGACAGACAUUAAUCAAAGUCAGUGCCCAUUAGGUAACAUAGGCAGCUGCCUGGGGUGUCAUCAUCUGAGGGGAUAUUGACUUAAACCACGUCACCCUUCGUGACAAUGGGCACAACCCGUGUUGCUUAAUGGGUCGACCAGCAU
Brienomyrus brachyistius is the source of this 1038-nucleotide long non-coding RNA. RefSeq lists it as uncharacterized. The transcript is spliced from 3 exons. NCBI's taxonomy places the organism in Eukaryota, Metazoa, Chordata, Actinopteri, Osteoglossiformes, Mormyridae. The record is from RefSeq and is a predicted model, not a curated record.